AUUGAACGCUGGCGGCAGGCCUAACACAUGCAAGUCGAACGGUAACAGGAAGCAGCUUGCUGCUUUGCUGACGAGUGGCGGGCGGGUGAGUAAUGUCUGGGAAACUGCCUGAUGGAGGGGGAUAACUACUGGAAACGGUAGCUAAUACCGCAUAACGUCGCAAGACCAAAGAGGGGGACCUUCGGGCCCCUUGCCAUCGGAUGUGCCCAGAUGGGAUUAGCUAGUAGGUGGGGUAACGGCUCACCUAGGCGACGAUCCCUAGCUGGUCUGAGAGGAUGACCAGCCACACUGGAACUGAGACACGGUCCAGACUCCUACGGGAGGCAGCAGUGGGGAAUAUUGCACAAUGGGCGCAAGCCUGAUGCAGCCAUGCCGCGUGUAUGAAGAAGGCCUUCGGGUUGUAAAGUACUUUCAGCGGGGAGGAAGGGAGUAAAGUUAAUACCUUUGCUCAUUGACGUUACCCGCAGAAGAAGCACCGGCUAACUCCGUG
RNAcentral lists this ribosomal RNA (490 nucleotides) under uncultured bacterium. RNAcentral's name for it is "partial 16S ribosomal RNA". It matches the Rfam family "Bacterial small subunit ribosomal RNA", at positions 30 to 507 of the family's 1533-position model. The record is from RNAcentral.